RNAcentral lists this ribosomal RNA (729 nucleotides) under Pseudomonas sp. 110921_PC_C_C9. Its description in RNAcentral is "bacterial SSU rRNA". It matches the Rfam family "Bacterial small subunit ribosomal RNA", at positions 22 to 744 of the family's 1533-position model. The record is from RNAcentral. RNAcentral also lists the same sequence under 1 other name. Lineage: Bacteria; Pseudomonadati; Pseudomonadota; Gammaproteobacteria; Pseudomonadales; Pseudomonadaceae.
GCUCAGAUUGAACGCUGGCGGCAGGCCUAACACAUGCAAGUCGAGCGGCAGCACGGGUACUUGUACCUGGUGGCGAGCGGCGGACGGGUGAGUAAUGCCUAGGAAUCUGCCUGGUAGUGGGGGAUAACGUUCGGAAACGAACGCUAAUACCGCAUACGUCCUACGGGAGAAAGCAGGGGACCUUCGGGCCUUGCGCUAUCAGAUGAGCCUAGGUCGGAUUAGCUAGUUGGUGAGGUAAUGGCUCACCAAGGCGACGAUCCGUAACUGGUCUGAGAGGAUGAUCAGUCACACUGGAACUGAGACACGGUCCAGACUCCUACGGGAGGCAGCAGUGGGGAAUAUUGGACAAUGGGCGAAAGCCUGAUCCAGCCAUGCCGCGUGUGUGAAGAAGGUCUUCGGAUUGUAAAGCACUUUAAGUUGGGAGGAAGGGCAGUUACCUAAUACGUAAUUGUUUUGACGUUACCGACAGAAUAAGCACCGGCUAACUCUGUGCCAGCAGCCGCGGUAAUACAGAGGGUGCAAGCGUUAAUCGGAAUUACUGGGCGUAAAGCGCGCGUAGGUGGUUCGUUAAGUUGGAUGUGAAAUCCCCGGGCUCAACCUGGGAACUGCAUUCAAAACUGUCGAGCUAGAGUAUGGUAGAGGGUGGUGGAAUUUCCUGUGUAGCGGUGAAAUGCGUAGAUAUAGGAAGGAACACCAGUGGCGAAGGCGACCACCUGGACUGAUACUGAC